Molecule: long non-coding RNA, 411 nt
Filed under: Fukomys damarensis (Damara mole-rat)
Lineage: Eukaryota; Metazoa; Chordata; Mammalia; Rodentia; Bathyergidae
Description: lncRNA (ENSFDAG00000032601.1)
Source: RNAcentral
CUGGAAGGUUGGGAUUAUAGGCAUGAGCCACCUAUCACACAUCUGGCCUUGCUCUAAUAAAUCUUCUGAUUCUCUGAGAGAGGCAAGAGAACCAGGAGUCAACUAUGAAGGAUCAGAGAGCAGUGGCAGCUGGGACCAGGGAGCUGGACAAUUUCCGUUCUUUGGAUUUAGUUAUACUGUACCCAGUGGUGUUAGAAACCACAGCACACGGAACAGCAGGACACUUGGAGGCAUUUAUCUCCUCAUGAUCCAGAACUGUGCAGCACUGGAAGGCAGACUUCUUUCUAGAACAGACACUUCUUUCCGCGUUGUGUGUCGGAGGCAGGGCUGCAGGCUUGGAUCUGCCACCGUCCUUCACCAAGAGGAAAGCUCCUCUCCGGCAGGUAGGCCGGUCAUUCAUUAGACACCGAA